RNAcentral lists this ribosomal RNA (357 nucleotides) under uncultured bacterium. Its description in RNAcentral is "bacterial SSU rRNA". It matches the Rfam family "Bacterial small subunit ribosomal RNA", at positions 1036 to 1396 of the family's 1533-position model. The record is from RNAcentral.
GGUGGCGAUGGCUUGUCUGCCCUCGUGUCUUGAGAUGUUAUGGUUAAGUCCGGCCACGAGCGCAACCCUUGUCUGUACUUGCCUCAUUAAGUUGGGGACUCUAACGAGACCGCCAGUGUAAACCGGAAGAAGGAGGGGAGGACGUCAAAUCAUCAUGCCCUUUAUGUCCUGGGCGACGCACGUGCUACAAUGGCCGUUGCAAAAAAAAACAAAACCACCAGGUCAAGCAAAUCUCAUAAAGACGGUCUCAGUUCGGAUUGGAGUCUGCAACUCCACUCCCUGAAGUCGGAAUUGCUAGUAAUCGUAGAUCAACCAUGCUACGGUGAAUACGUUCCCGGGUCUUGUACACACCGACCG